Vicia villosa (hairy vetch) is the source of this 4804-nucleotide long non-coding RNA. RefSeq lists it as uncharacterized. NCBI's taxonomy places the organism in Eukaryota, Viridiplantae, Streptophyta, Magnoliopsida, Fabales, Fabaceae. The transcript has 6 exons. The record is from RefSeq and is a predicted model, not a curated record.
UUCACGUGGCUUAAUUUGGUACACUCAAUCGAUCGGACGGACAGGAUUUGUCGAAAGGGAUUGUACCUUUCCCGCGAUAAUAACCUUUGUGAGCAACUCAGUGCUCUGAAACCGAGCCACCCCUGCCCGAGUUAACGACUCGUAGCAGAACUCACUUCGAAUGAAUCAUUCUCCAACGAACUCCCUCUCCUCCACACGCUUCUCCAACGCAGUGCCAGAUGAACGUGGAAGGGGAGUGAAUUGAGAGGAGACAAGAGUUUCAGAGGCGAAACUGAUAUGAUGUUGAACGCUCUAUUUGUAAUUGAAAACUGGAGCAUAUCUUUUCUCUUCCCUCAUGAACUCAAGUUAUUUAAUCGAGGAUACGAGAUAUUACCAGACUUAAACCAACUAGACAUUGAAGAGGAAGAUCGAAACUAUAAUUACGGACAAAUUCAAAAAAAUAAGAUGAAGUGGUAAUAACCACUAGAAACUCACACACACAACCGUGAGUACUAGGGUUCGAACCCUGGUGAUGGCGUCCACUCAGCAAUAUCGACUAGCAGACUGUUCCUGACAAUUUCUAUUGGCAGAAAUAUUUUCUUGGGAACAAUUGUUUACAAAUGUGUUAGGUAUGUACUUGUUAAUUUCAGGAAUUUUUUUCAAUUUAUUUAUUAAAAAUAUAGCAAAGUUGAAAGCUGUUGUUAGUUAUUUUUGCUGUCAAGGUAAUAAAAGAUUUUCAGGCUCUAUCAUUACAAUUUAAAAUAUUCCUUAGAAUAAAUAAUACUUGAGAAUAGUUAUAUCAAACUUUGCAAAACAUGAGUAUGUAAUGUUUUUAACCUUUUAUCAAAAUUUUUGUCGAAACCUUAAUAAUUACGGUCUCUUUCAAUUGGGAUCAUAAUGUUUCUGGCGGUAUUGAACUGGUACUCUUGAAGUAGAGCACUAGAUAUGCUAUGAUACCAUCUUAUAUGAAUAAGCAAUUCAUGAUAGAAGAACAGAAGGGAAUAUGUAGGAGAGUGGUUCUUCAUUGUUAGAAUUAAAUCACACUGCUUAUUGUAGAAAGAAAAAUCUUGCAUACAUAAAGCAACAAAGUGCAGCUACACCAUAAAACUCAUGAACAACUAACUAGGUACACGAGUAACCAUGAUCGCGUCACAUUCUUAAUAGUAAGCAAUGCAUCUUUGUUUAUGUACUGUUUGAAAGCUUUUAAUGUAUGUUGGCGCUAUUUUAAAAAGCCAUAUUUGCAUGAAUGGUAGCUAUUAGAAAGAAACAAAUAAUAAUUGACAGAAGUUGAAUAUGAUUCUUAUUUGAUAAUAACUUUUGGCAAACACAAUAGCUGGUUACAAUAAAAAAUUCUGCAAUAAAUAAAAAACUAUAAUACACAUCCAUAUUGAUCUAUACACAAAUAAAUCAAGGAGAUUACAGAUAAACUAAUCUCGCUUCUCCCCUUUGAUUUGUCUAUCCCUUGAAUAGAAUAAGACAAGGAAGUGCAAGAUUGCCACCAAAGAAAUACAAUAAAUAUUGUCUGGAUCACAAAUAUCGUAACUCAAAGAUGAUAUAUCCAGACAUUUAUUUAACGAAUUUAGACAUGAAGCUAGAAGUUUCACUUUGCUCCAAAUGGAGAUUGACUUUAUUCCUAGAUGAAAACUGGAGCCUGAAAACAAAUAAGAAUAGGAAUUUGGGUUAUUAUCAGGCAUAUAACACAUGCACAAACACAAACUAAUAACAAUAAAAAUGAUAAACUUACAUGAUCUAUCAUGAAUGGUGCUUCUGCAGUUUGAGCUUAGUUGUAGAUAGGUGGUGGUGGUGAAGCAUAGAUAUAAGCUGGUGGUGGAGGUGACUUUACUGGUGGGGGAGGACUCACAUAAUGGUAAGGAGGUGGAGGAGAUGGCGACGGUGGUGGAGGGGAUUUGUAGUAGUAGGGAGGAUGAGAAAUGGGAGAUGGUGGAGGAGGACUUUGAUAGUGAUAAGGAGGUGGUGGUGAUGGAGAUGGAGGUGGGGGAGAUUUGUAAUAGUAAGGAGGUGGCGGUGAUGGUGAGGGUGGUGGAGGUGAUUUGUAAUAGUAGGGAGGGGGUGGAGAUGGUGAUGGUGGUGGAGGAGAUUUGUAAUAGUAUGGAGGGGGUGGGGAUGGUGAUGGUGGAGGUGGGGACUUAUAAUAGUAUGGUGGAGGAGGGGAAGGUGAUGGUGGGGGUGGUGACUUAUAGUAGUAUGGUGGGUUUGAAAUCUCCUUAGGUGGAGGAGGUGACUUAUAAUAGUAAGGUGGUGGUGGAGAUGGUGAUGGUGGUGGUGGGGACUUAUAAUAGUAUGGUGGAGGAGGGGAUGGGGAUGGUGGAGGUGGGGACUUGUAAUAAUAUGGAGGUGGUGGCGAGUUGUACUUGUAAACCGGUGAGGGAUAAUGGACCGGGGGAGGAGGCGAGUUGUACUUGUAAACCGGUGGAGGUGGUGAGUUGUACUUGUAAACCGGUGAGGGGGGUGGGGGUGACUUGUAGUAAUAUGGGGGAGAAUCAUGAUGGACUGGUGGAGGUGGUGAGUUGUAUUUGUAAACCGGAGAGGGUGGUGGAGGCGACUUGUAGUAAUAUGGAGGAGAAUAAUAAUGAACUGGGGGAGGUGGUGAGUUAUACUUGUAAACCGGUGGAGGUGGUGAGUUGUACUUGUAAACCGGUGAAGGAUAAUGGGUCGGGGGAGGAGGCGACUUGUACUUGUAAACUGGUGGAGGUGGUGAGUUGUACUUGUAAACCGGCGAUGGAUAAUGGACUGGAGGAGGAGGCGACUUGUACUUAUAAACCGGUGGAGGUGGUGAGUUGUACUUGUAAACCGGUGAGGGAGGUGGAGGUGAUUUGUAGUAGUAAGGAGUUGGUGGUGACUUCACUGGAGGAGGAGGUGACUUGUAGUAAUAUGGAGGUGAAUAAUAAUGGACCGGUGGAGGUGGCGAUUUGUACUUGUAUACUGGUGUGGGAGGUGGAGGUGAUUUGUAGUAGUAAGGAGUUGGUGAAGGCUUGGGCUUGUCACAUUCUUUAAAAUGUUUCUUUGAAGCAUAAGCGAAAGGCUUAGCCUUAAGCACAACCUCAUACUUGUCUUUGGAAUACAAGUACAAUUUAGUUCCUUCGUUUAGCUUAGUAGGUAUGUUAAAGGGGGAGUCUUUAGGUGGAGCAUAUAGGGAGGCCUUGCAUACUGUGGCACCAUAUUUGACAUAGUCAAAGUCUUCAACUGUAAUGCUGUACUUUCCAUUGAUCUUAGUUUUACCAUAAGCCUUUAUGAUUUUGCCCCCAGCUUUGCAUGUCACCUCAACAACAGCACCUGCCCCAAAACAAAAUUAGUUUAAGCAAAAUAUGAAGACACUUAUUAUAUAGGACAAUAUUAUUAAAAGAGCAGCAUGUUAAACAAUACUUGUCAAAAUUAAUUUUAUGAGGCCGGUUCUUAGUAACUUAUGUGUUGUAUUAUGCAUAGAAAUUAAGUUACAUUUUAGGUUUGAUUAUCCAUGGAUGUAUAUCAUAAAACAAAACAGAUUGUAUUUUUCUUCAAAAACAUUAAUGAUUAAAACUAUAGUAGUGUUGUAUUAAUUAAAAUUUAAUUAAAAAAUAAAUAAAAAAUUUAACAGACAAAUAGUUAAGAAUACUCUAAACUCAUUACUCUAAAGAAGUCUAAUCCUUAGUAAUGUAAUGUACCUUUGAGAUGUUUCUUCACAUGAGAUUUUUCAGGAUAUUCCCAGUCAUAACACCUGAAGCUGUAGACUUUACCGAUUACCUUCACAAUCAAUGAGUGGUGGUAUGGAUGUGGGUGAGGAUACGCAACUGGUGGAGGAGGAGAGUUAUAAUAGUAUGGUGGUGGAAGGACCUUAGGUGGUGGGGGAGACUUGUAGUAGUAUGGGGUAUGGGGAAUAGGAGAUGGAGGGGGAGGAGAUUUGUAGUAGUAAGGUGGUGGUGGAGAUGGUGAAGGUGGUGGGGGAGAUUUAUAGUAGUAGGGUGGUGGAGGAGAUGGUGAAGGUGGUGGUGGGGACUUGUAAUAGUAUGGUGGAUCCUUGUGUAUAUAUGGUGGUGGAGGAGAUUUGUAGUAGUAUGGUGGGGGAGGGGAGGGUGAGGGUGGUGGAGGAGAUUUGUAGUAAUAUGGAGGUGGUGGUGAGGGAGAUGGUGGUGGUGGAGACUUGUAAUAGUAUGGUGGGGGAGGUGAAGGGGAGGGUGGUGGAGGAGAUUUGUAGUAGUAAGGAGGUGGUGGUGAGGGAGAGGGUGGUGGGGGACUCUUGUAAUAGUAUGGUGGGGGGGGUGAUGGAGAUGGAGGAGGUGGUGACUUGUACACAUAUGGUGGAGCCUUGUGUUCAUAUGGUGGUGGAGGGGGUGACUUGUACACAUAAGGAGGUGGUGGUGAUGGCGAUGGAGGAGGUGGUGACUUAUACACAUAUGGUGGAGCCUUGUGUUCAUAUGGUGGUGGAGGGGGUGACUUGUACACAUAAGGAGGUGGUGGUGAUGGAGAUGGAGGAGGUGGUGAUUUGUACUCAUAAGAUGGUGCCUUAUGCUCAUAUGGUGGAGGAGGUGGUGACUUGUAGACAUAAGGUGGUGGUGGUGAUGGUGACGGUGGUGGUGGUGACUUGUACUCAUAAGGUGGUGGAGGUGAAGAGUAGAUAUAACUAUCUGCAGCAGCAGAAACUACAGUAGUAGAAAUCAAAACAAUGGCCAAUGCCAUUGCCAUUGGGGGCCAGUUAUGACCCCUUCUGGGGCUACUGGCCAUAGCUGUCAUGAGUAGAAAGAAAAAAACUUGCUAACUCCAAUUCUUAUGUUUUUAGAUAUCCCCACAAAUAUUCUUAGAAGAAGAGAAAAAGAUAGAAAAGAAGGAA